UAGGUGGAUUAGUAAGUCAGAGGUGAAAGACCUGCAGCUCAACUGUAGAACUGCCUUUGAUACUGCUAGUCUUGAGUCAUUAUGAAGUGGUUAGAAUGUGUAGUGUAGCGGUGAAAUGCAUAGAUAUUACACAGAAUACCGAUUGCGAAGGCAGAUCACUAAUAAUGUACUGACACUGAUGGACGAAAGCGUGGGGAGCGAACAGGAUUAGAUACCCCUGGUAG
This 224-nucleotide ribosomal RNA is filed under the name uncultured bacterium. RNAcentral describes it as "partial 16S ribosomal RNA". It matches the Rfam family "Bacterial small subunit ribosomal RNA", at positions 572 to 793 of the family's 1533-position model. The record is from RNAcentral.